Molecule: transfer RNA, 84 nt
Filed under: Marinomonas sp. S3726
Lineage: Bacteria; Pseudomonadati; Pseudomonadota; Gammaproteobacteria; Oceanospirillales; Oceanospirillaceae
Also listed under: 8 other names
Description: tRNA-Tyr
Rfam family: tRNA
About the family: Transfer RNA (tRNA) molecules are approximately 80 nucleotides in length. Their secondary structure includes four short double-helical elements and three loops (D, anti-codon, and T loops). Further hydrogen bonds mediate the characteristic L-shaped molecular structure. tRNAs have two regions of fundamental functional importance: the anti-codon, which is responsible for specific mRNA codon recognition, and the 3' end, to which the tRNAs corresponding amino acid is attached (by aminoacyl-tRNA synthetases). tRNAs cope with the degeneracy of the genetic code in two manners: having more than one tRNA (with a specific anti-codon) for a particular amino acid; and 'wobble' base-pairing, i.e. permitting non-standard base-pairing at the 3rd anti-codon position.
Source: RNAcentral
GGAGGGGUUCCCGAGUGGCCAAAGGGAGCAGACUGUAAAUCUGCCACGAAAGUUUCGGUGGUUCGAAUCCACCUCCCUCCACCA